GAAUCGCGAUAAGUAAUGUGAAUUGCAGAUUUUCAGUGAAUCAUCGAAUCUUUGAACGCACCUUGCGCUCCUUGGUAUUCCGAGGAGCAUGCCUGUUUGAGUGUCAUUCAAUCUUCAACCAUUCGUCUCGUCUUGUCUCCAAGACAGUGACUCAUGGCUUGGAUCUUGGAGGUUGCCGGCCUUUGUCUUCGUCGGCUCUUCUGAAAUACAUUAGCGAAUGUGAUAGGGUCACUCAGUGACGGCCUCUCUUUCGACGACGUCAUAAUGAUCGUCGUCCACACGGGAGGGGCUGGAGUGUAGGAUCUGAUCGUUCGCUUCCAAUCCAAACCCCGUCAAUCAAAUCGAUAAUCUCUCGUCUGUGUCUGUCGUCGUCCUCGCAUGACUUCAUUCCCAUUCGAUCGAUCUCUCCUUUGUUUGAACCCUGACUGAACCUUUGACCUCAAAUCAGGUAGGACUACCCGCUGAACUUAA
This 471-nucleotide ribosomal RNA is filed under the name Xanthoconium aff. affine 119-176. RNAcentral's name for it is "eukaryotic LSU rRNA". The stretch from base 1 to 106 matches the Rfam family "5.8S ribosomal RNA", at positions 50 to 154 of the family's 154-position model. The record is from RNAcentral. Lineage: Eukaryota; Fungi; Basidiomycota; Agaricomycetes; Boletales; Boletaceae.